AUUUUUUUUUAUGGAUUAAUUUCAUACAUGUCACUUUAAAAAUAGUAAAUAACAAAUAUAUUCCUAUAAAGUACAACUUUCACAUAUUGUCCUUACAAAAGUCUUGAUAUUUUCAAAUAUCCCCCUCCCGUUAGAAUUUGUUAGAACAUUUUAGUUAACCAUAGGUUAAAUACUUAACCUUGGUUAGUUUUUAACAUUUCUACCUCUCUUAUAUUAUACUGUUAUGAUUUUUAGAGGGACAUAUUUGUGAUGACAAAAUUAAAAAUAUAAACAUUUCUCUAACAGUAACAAAUCAGAGGGACAAAUUUGAAAGCAUCAGGACUUUUGCAGGGACAACAUAUGAAAGUUGGACUUUGCACUGAUAUAUUUGUCAUUUACUAUGUUUGCAGGGAGUAGGAGAUGGGAGAGGGGUGGUGCUCGGUGAGGUGGAGGGAGAGGAACCAGCCGCAGGAGCUCUGUGACCAAGAGAGAGAGGGAUCUUUUCUUGCUUCGAAAAUGGGGAGAAGGGGAUAAGGAGGGUAAUUUGAAAAAUU
This 533-nucleotide long non-coding RNA is filed under the name Ananas comosus (pineapple). Its description in RNAcentral is "long non-coding RNA (ACOM_LNC034385)". Lineage: Eukaryota; Viridiplantae; Streptophyta; Magnoliopsida; Poales; Bromeliaceae. The record is from RNAcentral.